Molecule: ribosomal RNA, 406 nt
Filed under: uncultured bacterium
Lineage: Bacteria
Description: partial 16S ribosomal RNA
Rfam family: Bacterial small subunit ribosomal RNA
Source: RNAcentral
AUUGAACGCUGGCGGCAGGCCUAACACAUGCAAGUCGAACGAGUGGCGGACGGGUGAGUAAUGUCUGGGCAACUGCCUGAUGGAGGGGGAUAACUACUGGAAACGGUAGCUAAUACCGCAUACCAUCGGAUGUGCCCAGAUGGGAUUAGCUAGUAGGUGGGGUAAAGGCUCACCUAGGCGACGAUCCCUAGCUGGUCUGAGAGGGUGACCGGCCACACUGGAACUGAGACACGGUCCAGACUCCUAGGGGAGGCAGCAGGAGGGAAUAUUGCACAAUGGGCGCAAGCCUGAUGCAGCCAUGCCGCGUGUAUGAAGAAGGCCUUCGGGUUGUAAAGUUCUUUCAGUGGAGAGGCGUUACCCACAGAAGAAGCACCGGCUAACUCCGUGCCAGCAGCCGCGGUAAUAC